GACGAACGCUGGCGGCGUGCCUAAUACAUGCAAGUAGAACGCUGAAGAGAGGAGCUUGCUCUUCUUGGAUGAGUUGCGAACGGGUGAGUAACGCGUAGGUAACCUGCCUUUUAGCGGGGGAUAACUAUUGGAAACGAUAGCUAAUACCGCAUAACAAUGGAUGACCCAUGUCAUUUAUUUGAAAGGGGCAAAUGCUCCACUACAAGAUGGACCUGCGUUGUAUUAGCUAAGAGGUGAGGUAACGGCUCACCUAGGCGACGAUACAUAGCCGACCUGAGAGGGGUGACGGCCAAACUGGGACUGAGACACGGCCCAGACUCCUACGGGAAGCAGCAGUAAGGAAUCCUCGGCAAUGGGGGCAACCCCGAACGAGCAACGCCGCGUGAAGGAAGGAGGUUUUCGGAUCGGAAAGCUCUGUUGUAAGUGAAGGACGAGUGUGAGAGUGGAAAGUUCACACUGUGACGGUAGCUUACCAGAAAGGGACGGCUAACUACGUG
Molecule: ribosomal RNA, 497 nt
Filed under: uncultured bacterium
Lineage: Bacteria
Description: partial 16S ribosomal RNA
Rfam family: Bacterial small subunit ribosomal RNA
Source: RNAcentral